GCUGGAAUGGCUCAGUUGGUAGAGCAACGCAUUCGUAAUGCGUGGGUCGAGGGUUCGAGUCCCUUUUCCAGCU
This 73-nucleotide transfer RNA is filed under the name Candidatus Scybalomonas excrementavium. Its description in RNAcentral is "tRNA-Thr". It matches the Rfam family "tRNA". From Rfam's summary of the family: Transfer RNA (tRNA) molecules are approximately 80 nucleotides in length. The record is from RNAcentral. Lineage: Bacteria; Bacillati; Bacillota; Clostridia; Lachnospirales; Lachnospiraceae.